RNAcentral lists this ribosomal RNA (395 nucleotides) under uncultured bacterium. RNAcentral describes it as "bacterial SSU rRNA". It matches the Rfam family "Bacterial small subunit ribosomal RNA", at positions 118 to 507 of the family's 1533-position model. The record is from RNAcentral.
UAGGAAUCUGCCUGAUAGUGGGGGAUAACGUUCGGAAACGGACGCUAAUACCGCAUACGUCCUACGGGAGAAAGCAGGGGACCUUCGGGCCUUGCGCUAUCAGAUGAGCCUAGGUCGGAUUAGCUAGUUGGUGAGGUAAUGGCUCACCAAGGCUACGAUCCGUAACUGGUCUGAGAGGAUGAUCAGUCACACUGGAACUGAGACACGGUCCAGACUCCUACGGGAGGCAGCAGUGGGGAAUAUUGGACAAUGGGCGAAAGCCUGAGUCCAGCCAUGCCGCGUGUGUGAAGAAGGUCUUCGGAUUUGUAAAGCACUUUAAGUUGGGAGGAAGGGCAUUAACCUAAUACGUUGGUGUCUUGACGUUACCGACAGAAUAAGCACCGGCUAACUCUGUG